Equus asinus (donkey) is the source of this 1973-nucleotide long non-coding RNA. Lineage: Eukaryota; Metazoa; Chordata; Mammalia; Perissodactyla; Equidae. The record is from Ensembl.
CUUUUAUUUUCUGUCUUCUUUGCCUUCAAGUGUCAAUUGGCUCCUCUCAGUCACAGCUGUACAAAUCACAGGAUUUUUUUUUUUAUUGGCAUAAGACAUAUGCAUUAUUCAUCUAUUCAGUUUCAUCUGAAGGAAAUCCAAAAAAGACACAACUUUACCUUCCAAAGAAAUAUUUAAAGCUGCUUUUUCCCUGCGAGAAAGUAGGCAGAAAACUUCAUCCAUGAUCUACGUCCCCAUGUUCAACCCAGCUCUCCAUGAUGGGAGAAUUAAGUCCUUGACAGCAACCAUCAACCACUAAUGAAAAGAGCAAAAACAGAAGAUGUGAGAUCCAAGCUCUCUCUCAGAAGAUAAAAGUUACCUUAUAAAAGAGACAGUCGUGGUUUUAUAAGCAAAACAGGACUUUCUCAACAUCUCACAGCCAUCUCAUUAGCCAAUGCUCUCUCAUCACGAGUGAUCGUGGUUAUUUAGCGUCAGAAGCAAAAUAUGGGAGAUCUGUCUGCAGGCAAGUGGAGACAAGGCAUAAGAAAGGAAGAGCUAGGUGUGUGAGGAAAAUGCUGAAGUGGACAUACUUUAGUGCCUGAUUCAUAAGGACGAAAAGGCAUCGACUCGAGCAGAGAUGUAACCCCUUCUGGGUGGGAUGCCCAAUUCCCAGGAAUCCUGUUACCAGAAGCAGCAGAGGAAAAGGGACCCUAGGAGAUCAUCAGCUGGAAGACUGCAGGAUUACAGCUGCCUCAGUCCGGAUCCCAACGGCACAACUACUUCCAAAACUGUCUCCCGGUGAGGCAGCUAAGAUGCGGAGAGAAGAAAUGGGGAGUCAGGAGCUCCAGCCCUGUGUGUCCAGGGUACGUAUGUAAAAAGGCAACCUAAAUUCAGAUUUAAAGCUUCUUGUUGCCCAGGAUGUGCUGGACGCAGACAUCAAGCAUGGGAGGUAGAUAUCCUCCCUGCUUUUCAGAUGAGGAAACUGCCCAUCAGAAAGUCAAGCGACGCCCCGUGCACGCCUGGUUGGUGCCGGAGGCAGGAUGGAAAGCCUGGUCCUGCUGACUCCAGGACCUUCCUCUCCCCACAGGGGCUUGUAACAUGCCCCAAAAUCAACAAAUAAGCCAAAAAUAAAUCCAAUCUCAAAGCAAAAAUAGUCUUUCUUUUUCUAGUUUCCUCCAGUUGUGAAAGAAAAACAAGACUUUGGAGUUCCAUUUAUAAGGAUAAAAUUUCCUGUGAUUUGUGAAAAUGGUAAAAGUAUAUACAGCUGUAUAAGGUCUCACCGUGGCACCUGAGUCCGGCAUGUUUCCUUACUUGAUAUACACGUCUUCCUUUGUCCUGCACUUCACAUUUGAUCUACAAGACGUAAAUUCUUCGAGGGAUAAAAGACUUGGUGAGCACAGAAUCAAAAACCAAUAAAGGGAUUUUUUUGUUUUUUUUUUAAAUGUUCUUGCUAACAUAGAAAGGCUUACAGGUAGACCACUCAACCUAACAUGAUGCCCUGUGAGGUGUCGGGUAUAAGGUGAGCAAGUGGGCUCUGUGAAAACAACUCCAAGAUGCAGAGGAAAAGAACUCUGGAGUGAGGUGCUGUGAACAACGCUCUUAGCAAACAGAAUUAUUUUUGAUGUUGUUUCCACCUGGCUGAUGAUUGUUUUAGAGCAAGUCUCCUGUCACGGCCUGGCAUUGGAUCUGCAGAAUUCCUUAACAGACACUGGGCCGGCAGGCAGGAAGACAUCACACGCCCGGCGAAGAUACAAAACGUCCGGGGCAUUGCCAUGACUCUCAAGGUGUUGUUUAGAGUUCAUGUGAGUACUUCUAAAAAUACGAUGGGAUGGCCUUUCCGAGCUUGUUUCCUUUAGAUGCUAGACCAUCAAUCAACAGACGAGAAACAGCUAUUAGAAGAUAAGUUUGAGAAAAAUGUACAAUAUUUAAUCAGUCCUUACUGUGUGGUUUUUCUGUGCUGAAUCUCCCAUUCAACAUUCAGCCCCAAAUUCUAC